UACGUAUGGGGCAAGCGUUACUCGGAUUUACUGGGCGUAAAGGGCGCGUAGGUGGUGUAGAAAGUCAAAUGUGAAAACCCAUGGCUCAACUGUGGAUCCGCAUUUGAAACUUCUGCACUUGAGUUUAGGUGAGGAGAAUGGAAUUCCCGGUGUAGGGGUGAAAUCUGUAGAUAUCGGGAAGAACACCAGUGGCGAAGGCGAUUCUCUAACCUGAUACUGACACUGAGGCGCGAAAGCGUGGGGAG
RNAcentral lists this ribosomal RNA (245 nucleotides) under uncultured bacterium. Its description in RNAcentral is "partial 16S ribosomal RNA". It matches the Rfam family "Bacterial small subunit ribosomal RNA", at positions 524 to 768 of the family's 1533-position model. The record is from RNAcentral.